GAAAAAAUCUGCUGACUGUAGGCUCAGCCAACCCAGGUCCUGAACUCAUGAAAGCCUCAUGUGGCAAAACAGUGGAAGUCUGAAGCCCGCUGAGAUGCGUGGGAUCAGUACCUUGACCCCUAGUCACACCGUACACCAGUGUUUCUAUUGAGUGCGGAGCACAAGGGAAUAGUAGCAGGAUUUGGGAGAAACUAUAACAGGGGCAGAAGAUACGGUCACCUCCAUGGAGAAAGAGCAUUCUUAAAUCACCAGAUCAAGGGAAUUUAACCAGUUCUGCUCUGAGUAGGGCAAGGUGAGGAAUCAAGGCACGAAGCAGAUGAUGUCCCCUGAAACAGCUAGUUAAGUGCCAGGGUUCGUAUUUAGCCCAGGAGACUGGCUUUAGAACCUGAGCAUUCAACAGCCAGCUAAUUCUGCUAAAUUAUUACAGUUGUGGCUGGAAGACAGGGGAGAUUUAAAUCCGUGUUAUGGACUUCAACAUAUUGUUAGAAAAGACUCUUCAACCCUACGUUCGUCUGAAGAUAGGCAGGCUUACAUUGAAAAAGAAUUAAGAUCUUCACGGGAGAGUGGCCGUAUGAUCUAUCAUCUAAACUGGGACACGUCCAAAAGGAAAAAGCUAUUAAUAACUUCACCAGGAAAACUGGGACAUAUGGUCGUCCUACUCACAGGACAAGUUUCAGCCUUCAAGACCUGCAGAGCGCUGCGGAAGUUGUAGAUCGCCGUACCCGUUACACACGAACACACGUGUAUUGCUGUUGUCUUCUCUAGACGAGGUGUCUGUCUUUGAUGGGCAACUUGAAGGAUUUUCAAGGAUAAUUUUGGCUGUGCCUGCCUUACCCCUGGGUGAUAGAAUUUAACCCCUAUACAGAACCCAUCCCAUAGAGACAGGUAAAGCAUUUUUCUAACAAGUUCUCUUUAUGGAGCAGGUUAGCCAAUUUGUAGAAAAACGUUUUUGAGAGUUUCUGUAUGAACUGAUAACUUUUGAUUUCCUUCAAGAAUUAGUAUGAAUUUCAAACAAAUGAGGUUUGCAAAGAGUUUUUUUUAAACUGUAAGUAGAUGAAUACAUUUCUUUAGAUAAAGUCCUCCAUUCACUGAA
Leptonychotes weddellii (Weddell seal) is the source of this 1093-nucleotide non-coding RNA. The record is from RefSeq and is a predicted model, not a curated record. NCBI's taxonomy places the organism in Eukaryota, Metazoa, Chordata, Mammalia, Carnivora, Phocidae.